This 251-nucleotide ribosomal RNA is filed under the name uncultured bacterium. RNAcentral's name for it is "partial 16S ribosomal RNA". The record is from RNAcentral.
CUGCUGCCUCCCGUAGGAGUUUGGGCCGUGUCUCAGUCCCAAUGUGGCCGGCCACCCUCUCAGGUCGGCUACUGAUCGUCGCCUUGGUGGGCCGUUACCUCACCAACCAGCUAAUCAGACGCGGAUCCAUCCCAUACCACCGGAGUUUUUCACACCAGACCAUGCGGUCCUGUGCGCUUAUGCGGUAUUAGCAGUCAUUUCUAACUGUUAUCCCCCUGUAUGAGGCAGGUUAUCCACGCGUUACUCACCCG